This is a long non-coding RNA of Vigna radiata var. radiata (mung bean), 733 nucleotides long. RefSeq lists it as uncharacterized. The record is from RefSeq and is a predicted model, not a curated record. The transcript is spliced from 4 exons. Lineage: Eukaryota; Viridiplantae; Streptophyta; Magnoliopsida; Fabales; Fabaceae.
AUAAGUAUUUUCUCGCUCAACUACUUGGAUUUGAAUCCUCUUUUUUUCCCAGGGCUGAAAACCAAACACGAAAAAUGAGGUAGGGAUAAGGUUGUUAGGACAUAGCAAUUCACGUGGCAAGAACCUUUUCACAAACAAAUUAAUUUCAACAAAAUUUGAUAUUCAAACUGAUGUAUGAAGCUGUCUGUACUGUAUUAUCGAACACCCACCUGCUGUCUUUUCAUAUCCUCCUCUUUUUCUCGUCGUAGUACAUUAUAUUCUUCCAAUAUAGCCAUCAGAGGUACCUACGUAGAUAUCAUUUGUUUAUGCUGUUAUCAAAUCAACAAACCACAGCAUCAUACUAUUAAAGGGAGUUCACAAAUGCUGGACCAAGAGUAAAGAAAUUGAUACAUUCUCCGGCUUCUGAAAACGUUUCAGAUGUACCUGGUAUUCUGCUGACCAUUAUGCGGGCUCGUUCAGCACGUCUCAAGUUUUUCCAGCGCUCUUCAUCACGUGCCAGCAUCCACUUCUCCACUUUCUCCAUGAUAGCCUUCCUGCUAGAAGCCUCUUCUUUUGCUCUAGAUAUCUGUUCAUCCAUGCUCAAGAGGAGAUCAGAAUGAUCAAUCUCCCCUGUGGAAAAUGAAUCUCCACAUGUGAUUUCUUGCAUAUCAACUCCAGCUCCUCCUGCUUCUUCUGGAAUAGCUCCUUCAUUUUGCUUGCUUUUAGUUGAUCCAGUCUCUUGACUUCAGCUUCA